RNAcentral lists this unclassified non-coding RNA (25 nucleotides) under Mus musculus (house mouse). RNAcentral describes it as "oocyte_clustered_small_RNA2623". The record is from RNAcentral. Lineage: Eukaryota; Metazoa; Chordata; Mammalia; Rodentia; Muridae.
AGGGUGAGAGAAUGGCCAUUGCCAA